Molecule: long non-coding RNA, 2300 nt
Organism: Oncorhynchus tshawytscha (Chinook salmon)
Lineage: Eukaryota; Metazoa; Chordata; Actinopteri; Salmoniformes; Salmonidae
Source: Ensembl
GGGAUAUCUGAGGGGGACAUGGGAGAGAUGGGGGAUAUCGGCAGGGGAGAGAGAGAACAUGAGAUAUAGAUGGACUAUUGGCUACUAAGCUGAACCUGGAUGACAUGGCAGAUCACAGUGGAGGAUAGAAACAUCCACAUCAUUGAGGAAACAUCGAGAUGUUAUCAAGAGUCUUACUGUUGCAUCACACUCAUCACGAAGACAAAUAGUGUCGUUCUGAACUAAAAGAAGAGUGUGAGGGUGUUGUGAGUUUAGUCAUCAUAAUCCCCAACAUUAGACUUCUGCCUCUACACAGCUUUGUCCAGUAUAAUGUUCAACACGCCUUUUAACAGAAAGCUUUAGCCAGGUCACACCCACUAACAAACAGCUUGAGAAAAUGUUAUUGUCUGUGAUGAUAAAACCGGAAGGCUGAGAGGAGUCAGUCAGUUAAUUAGCUAGUUAUUUUUUGGUCAGUUAGGUAGGUAGGUAGUUAGUCAGCCAGUCAGUCAGUUAUGUGUCCAUCAGCCAGCCAGUCAGCCAGUCAGCCCAGCCAUCAGUCAGCCAGUCAGUCAGUCAGUCAGUCAGUCAGUUAUGUGUCCAUCAGCCAGUCAGCCAGCCAGUCAGCCAGUCAGCCAGUCAGUCAGCCAGUCAGCCAGUCAGUCAGCCAGCCAGCCAGUCAGUCAGUCAGUCAGUCAGUCAGCACAUGCUCAUGUACAACACAUACCAUAAUAAAAUGAUGACUUGCAGUUGAAGUCAGAAGUUUACAUACACCUGAGCCAAAUACAUUUAAACUCAGUUUUUUCACAAUUCCUGAUAUUUAAUCCCAGUUACCACUUUAUUUUAAGAAUGUGAAAUGUCAGAAUAAUAGUAGAGAGAAUUAUUUAUUUCAGAUUUUAUUUAUUUCAUCACAUUCCCAGUUGGUCAGAUGUUUACAUACACUCAAUUAGUAUUUGGUAGCAUUGCCUUUAAAUUGUUUAACUUGGGUCAAACGUUUCGGGUAGCCUUCCACAAGCUUCCCACAAUAAGUUGAAUGAAUUUUGGCCCAUUCCUGCUGACAGAGCUGGUAUAACUGAGUCAGGUUUGUAGGCCUCCUUGCUCGCACACGCUUUUUCAGUUCUGCCCACAAACUUUAUAUAAGAUUGAGGUCAGGGCUUUGUGAUGGCCACUCCAAUACCUUGACUUUGUUUCCUUAAGCCAUUUUGCCACAUCUUUGGAAGUAUGCUUGGGGUCAUUGUCCAUUUGGAAGACACAUUUGUGACCAAGCUUUAACUUCCUGACUGAGGUCUUGAGAUGUUGCUUCCAUAUAUCCACAUAUUUUUCCUCCCUCAUGAUGCCAUCUAUUUUGUGAAGUGCACCAGUCACUCCUGCAGCAAAGCACCCCCACAACAUGAUGCUGCCACCCCCGUGCUUCACGGUUGGGAUAGUGUUCUUCGGCUUGCAAGCCUCACCCUUUUUCCUCCAAACACAACGAUGGUCAUUAUGGCCAAACAGUUCUAUUUUUGUUUCAUCAGACCACAGGACAUUUCUCCAAAAAGUACGAUCUUUGUCCCCAUGUGCAGUGGCAAACCUUAGUCUGGCUUUUUUUAUGGUGGUUUUGGAGCAGUGUCAUCUUUCUUGCUGAGCGGCCUUUCAGGUUAUGUGGAUAUAGAUGCUUUUGUACCUGUUUCCUCCAUCUUUACAAGGUCCUUUGCUGUUGUUCUGGGAUUGAUUUGCACUUUUCGCACCAAAGUAAGUUCAUCGCUAGGAGAUUAUUUGUACAGCUGAACGUGGUACCUUCUGGCGUUUGGAUAUUUCUCCCAAGGAUGAACCAGACUUGUGGAGGUCCACAAUUUAUUUUCUGAGGUCUUGGCUGAUUUCUUUUGAUUUUCCCAUGAUGCCAAGCAAAGAGUCACUGAGUUCAAGGUAGGCCUUGAAAUACAUCCACAGGUUCACCUCCAAUUGACUCAAAUUAUGUCAAUUAGCCUAUCAAGAAGCUUCUAAAGCCAUGACAUAAUUUUCUGGAAUUUUCCAAGCUGUUUAAAGGCACAGUCAACUUAGUGUAUGUAAACUUCUGACCCACUGGAAAUGUGAUACAGUGAAUUACAAGUGAAAUAAUCUGUCUGUUAAUAAUUGUUGAAAAAAAUGACUUGUGUUAUGCACAACGUAGAUGUCCUAAACGAAUUGCCAAAACUAUAGUUUGUUACAAGAAAUGUGUGGAGUGGUUGAAAAACGUGUUUUAAUGACUCCAACCUAAGUGUGUGUAAACUUCCGACCUCUGUCUCUCUGAUGACUUUGUAUUAAUAAACACUUUUUGACAAACAGGACGAUAUUGUGUGUCGUGG